GACGCCGCGUGUGUGAUGAAGGCUUUCGGGUCGUAAAGCACUGUUGUAAGGGAAGAAUAACUGAAUUCAGAGAAAGUUUUCAGCUUGACGGUACCUUACCAGAAAGGGAUGGCUAAAUACGUGCCAGCAGCCGCGGUAAUACGUAUGUCCCGAGCGUUAUCCGGAUUUAUUGGGCGUAAAGCGAGCGCAGACGGUUUAUUAAGUCUGAUGUGAAAUCCCGAGGCCCAACCUCGGAACUGCAUUGGAAACUGAUUUACUUGAGUGCGAUAGAGGCAAGUGGAACUCCAUGUGUAGCGGUGAAAUGCGUAGAUAUGUGGAAGAACACCAGUGGCGAAAGCGGCUUGCUAGAUCGUAACUGACGUUGAGGCUCGAAAGUAUGGGUAGCAAACGGGAUUAGAUACCCCGGUAGUCCAUACCGUAAACGAUGGGUGCUAGUUGUUAAGAGGUUUCCGCCUCCUAGUGACGUAGCAAACGCAUUAAGCACCCCGCCUGAGGAGUACGGCCGCAAGGCUAAAACUUAAAGGAAUUGACGGGGACCCGCACAAGCGGUGGAGCAUGUGGUUUAAUUCGAAGAUACGCGAAAAACCUUACCAGGUCUUGACAUACCAAUGAUCGCUUUUGUAAUGAAAGCUUUUCUUCGGAAC
Molecule: ribosomal RNA, 644 nt
Filed under: Oenococcus oeni
Lineage: Bacteria; Bacillati; Bacillota; Bacilli; Lactobacillales; Lactobacillaceae
Description: bacterial SSU rRNA
Rfam family: Bacterial small subunit ribosomal RNA
Source: RNAcentral